AGAGUUUGAUCAUGGCUCAGAUUGAACGCUGGCGGCAGGCCUAACACGUGCAAGUCGAACGGUAACAGGAAACAGCUUGCUGUUUCGCUGACGUGUGGCGGACGGGUGAGUAAUGUCUGGGAAACUGCCUGAUGGAGGGGGAUAACUACUGGAAACGGUAGCUAAUACCGCAUAACGUCGCAAGACCAAAGAGGGGGACCUUCGGGCCUCUUGCCAUCAGAUGUGCCCAGAUGGGAUUAGCUAGUAGGUGGGGUAACGGCUCACCUAGGCGACGAUCCCUAGCUGGUCUGAGUGGAUGACCAGCCACACUGGAACUGAGACACGGUCCAGACUCCUACGGGAGGCAGCAGUGGGGAAUAUUGCACAAUGGGCGCAAGCCUGAUGCAGCCAUGCCGCGUGUAUGAAGAAGGCCUUCGGGUUGUAAAGUACUUUCAGCGGGGAGGAAGGGAGUAAAGUUAAUACCUUUGCUCAUUGACGUUACCCGCAGAAGAAGCACCGGCUAACUCCGUGCCAGCAGCCGCGGUAAUACGGAGGGUGCGAGCGUUAAUCGGAAUUACUGGGCGUAAAGCGCACGCAGGCGGUUUGUUAAGUCAGAUGUGAAAUCCCCGGGCUCAACCUGGGAACUGCAUCUGAUACUGGCAAGCUUGAGUCUCGUAGAGGGGGGUAGAAUUCCAGGUGUAGCGGUGAAAUGCGUAGAGAUCUGGAGGAAUACCGGUGGCGAAGGCGGCCCCCUGGACGAAGACUGACGCUCAGGUGCGAAAGCGUGGGGAGCAAACAGGAUUAGAUACCCUGGUAGUCCACGCCGUAAACGAUGUCGACUUGGAGGUUGUGCCCUUGAGGCGUGGCUUCCGGAGCUAACGCGUUAAGUCGACCGCCUGGGGAGUACGGCCGCAAGGUUAAAACUCAAAUGAAUUGACGGGGGCCCGCACAAGCGGUGGAGCAUGUGGUUUAAUUCGAUGCAACGCGAAGAACCUUACCUGGUCUUGACAUCCACGGAAGUUUUCAGAGAUGAGAAUGUGCCUUCGGGAACCGUGAGACAGGUGCUGCAUGGCUGUCGUCAGCUCGUGUUGUGAAAUGUUGGGUUAAGUCCCGCAACGAGCGCAACCCUUAUCCUUUGUUGCCAGCGGUCCGGCCGGGAACUCAAAGGAGACUGCCAGUGAUAAACUGGAGGAAGGUGGGGAUGACGUCAAGUCAUCAUGGCCCUUACGACCAGGGCUACACACGUGCUACAAUGGCGCAUACAAAGAGAAGCGACCUCGCGAGAGCAAGCGGACCUCAUAAAGUGCGUCGUAGUCCGGAUUGGAGUCUGCAACUCGACUCCAUGAAGUCGGAAUCGCUAGUAAUCGUGGAUCAGAAUGCCACGGUGAAUACGUUCCCGGGCCUUGUACACACCGCCCGUCACACCAUGGGAGUGGGUUGCAAAAGAAGUAGGUAGCUUAACCUUCGGGAGGGCGCUUACCACUUUGUGAUUCAUGACUGGGGUGAAGUCGUAACAAGGUAACCGUAGGGGAACCUGCGGUUG
This 1522-nucleotide ribosomal RNA is filed under the name metagenome. RNAcentral's name for it is "bacterial SSU rRNA". It matches the Rfam family "Bacterial small subunit ribosomal RNA". The record is from RNAcentral.